RNAcentral lists this ribosomal RNA (468 nucleotides) under uncultured bacterium. RNAcentral's name for it is "partial 16S ribosomal RNA". It matches the Rfam family "Bacterial small subunit ribosomal RNA", at positions 28 to 507 of the family's 1533-position model. The record is from RNAcentral.
GACGAACGCUGGCGGCGUGCUUAACACAUGCAAGUCGAACGGAAAGGCCCUGCUCUUGUUGGGUUCUCGUUUGGCGAACGGGUGAGUAUCACGCGAGUAACCUCCCCUUGACUUUCUGAUAACUUCAGGAAACUGGGGCUCUUACCCGAUAUGAUCUCCUGCUGCAUGGUGGGGGUUGGUAAGUUUCGGCGGUUGGGGAUGGACUCGCUGCUUAUCCGCUGGUUGGUGGGGUAGUUGCUUACCAAGGCUUUGACGGGUAGCCGGCCUGAGAGGGUGACCAGCGACAUUGGGACUGAGAUAGGGACCAGAAUGCUACGGGAGGCAGCAGUGGGGAAUCUUGCACAAUGGGGGGACGCCUGAUGCAGCAACGCCGGGUGCGGGAUAACGGCCUUCGGGUUGUGAACAGAUUUCGCCUGUGACGAAGCGUGAGUGACGGUAAUGGGUAAAGAAGCACCGGCUAACUACGUG